RNAcentral lists this ribosomal RNA (645 nucleotides) under Triticum aestivum (bread wheat). RNAcentral describes it as "partial small subunit ribosomal RNA". Lineage: Eukaryota; Viridiplantae; Streptophyta; Magnoliopsida; Poales; Poaceae. The record is from RNAcentral.
CGGGAGUACUUCGACAAGCUGUUCAAUGGGGAGAAUGAGAGUUCUACCAUUGAACUGAAUGACUCCUUUGAUGAGACCAUCAUGCGUUUUGUGCGGCGCAUCCAGGAGUCUGAGGUGAAGGAGGCUUUAAAAAGGAUGAAAGGAGGCAAGGCGAUGGGCCCUGAUUGUAUCCCCAUUGAGGUGUGGAAAGGUCUCGGGGACAUAGCGAUAGUAUGGCUAACCAAGCUUUUCAACCUCAUUUUUCGGGCAAACAAGAUGCCAGAAGAAUGGAGACGGAGUAUAUUAGUACCAAUCUUCAAGAACAAGGGGGAUGUUCAGAGUUGUACUAAUUACCGUGGAAUUAAGCUGAUGAGCCAUACAAUGAAGCUAUGGGAGAGAGUCAUUGAGCACCGCUUAAGAAGAAUGACACGCGUGACCAAAAAUCAGUUUGGUUUCAUGCCUGGGAGGUCGACCAUGGAAGCCAUUUUCUUGGUACGACAACUUAUGGAGAGAUAUAGGGAGCAUAAGAAGGACUUGCAUAUGGUGUUCAUUGACUUGGAGAAGGCCUAUGAUAAGAUACUGCGGAAUGUCAUGUGGUGGGCCUUGGAGAAACACAAAGUCCCAGCAAAGUACAUUACCCUCAUCAAGGACAUGUACAAUAAUGUU